Molecule: long non-coding RNA, 1306 nt
Organism: Bombus huntii
Lineage: Eukaryota; Metazoa; Arthropoda; Insecta; Hymenoptera; Apidae
Exons: 2
Source: RefSeq, a predicted model, not a curated record
GAAAAUUUAACGAUAGAACCGAAUAGGCAAUAAUAACGCUUUUAAAACCACGCUAAAUAAAACUAGAACGUCGCUUGCUCCACAGAUUAAGGAUCUUUCUCCGAGGAUUGCUGGCAUAAUGGCUUGCGCCAACUAUUUGAUAUUUUAAUCCACGCUUCAGGGAACAUUAUAUAAAUUGAAGUUGUUAUCCGAUAUAUCUAUCGUUUAAUGUUAGAUAUAACAAAAUCAUGUCUGUUAAAGUACAUUAUCUGAAUUAAUGUUAAUAAUCGUGAAACUAGAAAAGAAGACUAGUAACUUGAUACAAGUACUGUGAACUACCGUUAUUUUACCCAACUCCCGUCUUUAUUUUUCAAGAAUUUUAUCCGCUUUUACCGUAAGUUUUGAAAACAAAGAAUCACAGAAAAUAUGUAUACUUUGCGAUUAUUUUGCGAUCCCAGGAAGCAAUCAUCAAGCAAGCAUUCAACUUCAAAGAAUGAUGUAUUUAAAUAUUAACAUCGAAGACAGGCGACAGGCGACAAGCGAGAGGCGACAGGCGACUGGUGACAGGCGACAGAUAACAGGAAACAGGUAACAAGCAACAGGCAACACUCAAGUUUCCAGUAACGUCCGCGCUUACAUCCGUGCCGAUGAAUGAUUCAAGCAGGCAAAGCCGGCCUGCUUUCUCUCGUUAUAUUUACGAAAUGUAUUUGAGCAAAAGAUUCGUGUCUCUCCGCUAGUAUAUUCUUGCGUUACCUUACCUCUUGCGUAAUGCGUAACUUCCGUUUACAGAACUAGAUAUUUCUCAUACUGAAGCUACCACUACACUUUGCUAAGCAAUUUCUCGUUUAGUUUUUUUAUAUUUUGUUCGAAAUAACACGGAAGAAACGGAAAUAUGCAUAGAGCUAGACAGAGUUUGUUAGAAGAUAUUGGAGACGAUAGUAAAUAUGUUAUUUCUAAAUGAUCACACGUCGAAUAGCACUCUUUGUGUUGUUGUAGGUUGUUAAUAUAAUAAUGUCAAAUAUAAUAACAACUAUAGAAGCGUAAUAUGAUAUACUUUAUUAUUAUUAAUACAGUAUAUAAACGACUUUAACGGUGUUUUUCAUUAUUUAUUCGUUAUUUUUCUUUUUCUAUUCGAUAAUUUCUAAUUUUUAAAGGAGGAAUGUGUAUGAAAAUUGACAAGUUUGAUUUAACUUGCCGAUUGCUUAAAUUAAAUUAUAGCUACAUCAUGUUAAAAAAAAAAACAUUAUAAUAAAUUAAUUUGCGCGUGAGAAAGCUUAAGCGUAUAGGGAUGUUUCAGGUUUUAACGAAUAAAUUAAGCUUCUGUACA